This 1675-nucleotide ribosomal RNA is filed under the name human gut metagenome. RNAcentral's name for it is "bacterial LSU rRNA". It matches the Rfam family "Bacterial large subunit ribosomal RNA", at positions 1227 to 2925 of the family's 2925-position model. The record is from RNAcentral.
GGUAGAGGAGCAUUCUUAAAGAGACGAAGCUGUACCGAAAGGAGCAGUGGAUUUUUAAGAAGAGAGAAUGCCGGAAUGAGUAGCGAGAAAGAGGUGAGAAUCCUCUUGGCCGAAUAUCUAAGGUUUCCAGGGUAAAGCUGAUCUGCCCUGGGUAAGUCGGGGCCUAAGGCGAGGUCGAAAGACGUAGUCGAUGGAUAACAGGUUGAAAUUCCUGUACUAUCCUGUAACAGAACUGUGGGGACGCAGACAGAGAGCACAAGCCGGGAAUGGAAAGACCGGUGCAAGCGAGGUAGGAGUACAUCAGGCAAAUCCGGUGUGCAAUCCGAAGACGUGACGCGGAUCGAAAAGAAGUAGAGAAGUGUGUGAGCUGGCUGCCAAGAAAAGCCGCUAUUGUUUACAGGAUACCCGUACCGUAAACCGACACAGGUGGAUGAGGAGAGAAUCCUAAGGCCGACGGGAGAAGCAUUGUUAAGGAACUCGGCAAAAUGACUCCGUAACUUCGGGAGAAGGAGUGCCAUGCGAAUGGCCGCAGAGAAUUGGCCCAAGCAACUGUUUAGCAAAAACACAGGUCUAUGCGAAACCGAAAGGUGAGGUAUAUGGGCUGACGCCUGCCCGGUGCUGGAAGGUUAAGGGGAGAGGUUAGCGCAAGCGAAGCUUUGAACUUAAGCCCCAGUAAACGGCGGCCGUAACUAUAACGGUCCUAAGGUAGCGAAAUUCCUUGUCGGGUAAGUUCCGACCCGCACGAAAGGCGUAAUGAUUUGGGCACUGUCUCAACAAUGCACCCGGUGAAAUUGAAAUACCAGUGAAGAUGCUGGUUACCUGCGCCAGGACGGAAAGACCCCAUGGAGCUUUACUCUAGCUUGAUACUGGGAUUCGAUAUUGCAUGUACAGGAUAGGUGGGAGACUAGGAAGUGGUGACGCCAGUUGCCAUGGAGUCAAUGUUGGGAUACCACCCUUGCAGUAUUGGGUUUCUAACCAGCAGCCGUGAUCCGGCUGGGGGACAAUGUCAGGUGGGGAGUUUGACUGGGGCGGUCGCCUCCGAAAGGGUAUCGGAGGCGCUCAAAGGUUCCCUCAGAAUGGUUGGAAACCAUUCGAAGAGUGCAAAGGCAGAAGGGAGCUUGACUGCGACACCGACGGGUGGAGCAGGUACGAAAGUAGGACUUAGUGAUCCGGUGGUAUAAAGUGGGAUUGCCAUCGCUCAACGGAUAAAAGCUACCCUGGGGAUAACAGGCUUAUCACUCCCAAGAGUUCACAUCGACGGAGUGGUUUGGCACCUCGAUGUCGGCUCAUCGCAUCCUGGGGCUGUAGUCGGUCCCAAGGGUUGGGCUGUUCGCCCAUUAAAGCGGCACGCGAGCUGGGUUCAGAACGUCGUGAGACAGUUCGGUCCCUAUCCGUCGCGGGCGUAGGAAAUUUGAGAGGAGCUGUCCUUAGUACGAGAGGACCGGGAUGGACUGACCUCUGGUGCACCAGUUGUUCCGCCAGGAGCAUGGCUGGGUAGCUAAGUCGGGAAGGGAUAAACGCUGAAAGCAUCUAAGCGUGAAGCCUCCCUCAAGAUGAGAUUUCCCAUAGCAUAAGCUAGUAAGACCCCUUGAAGAACACAAGGUUGAUAGGUCAGAGGUGUAAGUGCGGUAACGUAUUUAGCUGACUGAUACUAAUAGGUCGAGGGCUUGACCAA